GACAGAGGCCUCAAGCGUUAGGCGGAAUCACUGGGCUUAAAGCGUGUGUAGGCGGAUCGUUAAGUGUCUUGUGAAAUCCCACGGCUCACCCGUGGAACUGCCGGGCAUACUGGCGAUCUUGGGCCAACUAGGGGCAACUGGAACAAGCGGUGGAGCGGUGAAAUGCGUAGAUAUCGCUUGGAACGCCGAAGGUGAAAACAGGUUGCUGGGGUUGUGCCGACGCUGAGACACGAAAGCCAGGGGAGCAAACGGG
Molecule: ribosomal RNA, 253 nt
Filed under: uncultured bacterium
Lineage: Bacteria
Description: partial 16S ribosomal RNA
Rfam family: Bacterial small subunit ribosomal RNA
Source: RNAcentral